UCACAUGAACUCUACAAUGUAGGCAUUAUUUGAGUCCUCAGAAUGUGAAAAUUGAGAGUGAGGGAGGGAGUUUGAGAGGGUUGUCAAAGGUCCCAGAAAAUGUGUGCUUCACUUAGAUUCAAGUUCAGCCUCACUGGUUUUCAAAGCAUAUUUCCCCUCCCUCCCUGCCUCUCUCCCUCCUUUUCUUCCUCCUUUUCUCUCUCCAUGCCUAUUUUUCAUUUUCCUUCUUUCAUUAAAAAAAAAGUAACACCCUCCAUCAGAUUUCCUUUAUGCCUGUUCCCUGUCCCAUUUCCCUGCCAUCUUCUUCAGAGGACAACUUUCAAAUGAGGUGAGAGAAUGUCCCUCCCACCCUUCGUAAUGCAUGCCCAUGGCCACAAAUAAUGUACAGAUGAGUUAGUCAGCUUUCUGUUAGGAUAACAAAAUGUCCUAGAUAGUCAACUUAAAAAAAGAGAACAGGCUUAUUUUGGCUCAUAGUUUUGCAAGUUUCACUGCAUGUUCAUUUGGCUUGUUGGUUUUGCACCUUUGGCAAAGGCAGUACAUGCUGGUGGGAGCACAUGGAGGUAGAAGUAGAAGCUGCUCACCGCAUGGUGGCCAGGAAGUGGGGGGGGGCACGCACGCGCGCACGCGCACACACACACACACACACACACACACACACACACUGGUCAAUAGCUCCUCCAGGACAAUCAACCAGGGACCUAACUUCCUCCCAUUAGGCUCCACCUCCCAAAGGGUCUACCACCUCCCAGUAGUGCCAUAGGCUGGUGGUAUACAUAGGCCUCUGAGGGACACUUAACCACAGGCAUAGCAAGUGUACUGCAUGCUUUAAACUUUUACAUAUGUGAAAAGGGGCUCUAAGUAUUAAUUUACAGAGCAACACAAAUGUUUAUUAAGCUUAAGAAAUGGUUCAGUACUUUAUUCAUUAAACAGCAAAAGAAAUUAAAAACCAUAUGGAAAGGAGUGUGUCCUGAGAUGCUGUUGUUUAAUAUCCAUCAAAUCAUCUGAGAGUUGGUAGCAGUAUAUAGAAGAGGCUGUGGGGGAAAGCACUCCAAAUUUGUGGGUGAGUAAAUUGAUAAUAAUGUCCACAGAAUACAAUUUGACAAUUUCUAUCAAAAUUGCACACAUACAAAAUUACAAAAGAAACACCAUUUCUUAUUAUUUGUAUUUGUACAUGUUCAAAAGCACAUAUGUGUGCUUAUUCAUUAUGGCAUUGCUCCUAAUAGAAAAGACCAGAAACAACUCACAUAGUCAUCAGUAGGGGAGCAAUUGAAUAAAUUACAUUGUAUCCCUAUAAUGGGAUCCUGUGCAGUAAUAAAAAAAGAAUGAAGGCACUCGGGCUGGGGAUUUAGUAGUGCCCCCGCCUGCCUUGCCAAGUGCAAGGUCCCGAGUUUGAUCCCCAGUACCAAAAAACAAAACAAAACAAAAGACAAUGUACAAAUGUGAAAACUUUCAAACUCUUAUUAAUCAAGGAAAAAAGCCAGAUACAGAACCAUAUAUAUGGUAUCUUUUGUGUAACAAAGGGGAAAAUUAAGCCUUUGUUAAUUUUUGUGUAUAUGUGCCUAAAGAAAUGGAAACUUUACAUGCAAAACCAGUUUUGUGUGUGGGAGGAAAGAGGGAAUGGAAGGAAGACUUAAAUGUAUUCCUUAAUAUUUUUUGAAUCCUGUAGAUGGGCUAUGUUAUCAAUUUCAAAAGUUAAAUUAAAAAGCCAGAGUCGUACCAUGUAGUACAAAUCAUUCUCCAACAUUUUCCAAUCGGGUUUAUGUUUUGGAGAUCUAUCCAUGUAGCUGUGUCCUUGAUUUUUUCCAUUAAUUAUGCUGCUUUAAACUGUAGUGUCUCAAGGCUGGAAAAGCUCUUGGAGAUCAUCUUGGCCCUGCCUUCAGUUUCAGGAGAGAAAAAUGAAGGUGCAGGUGACUCACUGAGGGCGGCGCAGCAGUCUUCUAGGAAAAAUGUUGUUUCAGGAAGAUGCACCAUGUUGGCUUUGUGGCUUUGGAUUCAUCUGCCAAUAGCAGUCUGGACCUGUGUGCACUGGAGUUUGAGAAACGUAGACUGGCUAGGUGUUGGUGAACUUUUCUAUAAAGGGCUAGAUAGUAAAUGUUUAGACUUUGUAAAUCAUAUUGCUUGUGUUACAAACAACCCUACUAUUGUAGCCAAGGCAGCCACAGACAAUAUGUAAAUUAACUCUCAUGACUAUGUUCCAACCAAACUUUAUUUCCAAAAACACACAGAUUUGGCUGAUGGCCUGGAUUUGGCCUGCAAGCUGUAGUUUACUGGCCCCUUAAUUAGACAAUAAAUUCCCAAAAGUUCA
Heterocephalus glaber (naked mole-rat) is the source of this 2305-nucleotide non-coding RNA. The record is from RefSeq and is a predicted model, not a curated record. Lineage: Eukaryota; Metazoa; Chordata; Mammalia; Rodentia; Bathyergidae.